This 1179-nucleotide long non-coding RNA is filed under the name Homo sapiens (human). RNAcentral describes it as "long non-coding RNA NONHSAT106735". Lineage: Eukaryota; Metazoa; Chordata; Mammalia; Primates; Hominidae. The record is from RNAcentral.
UAUUUCACAAAACUCUACUGAGCCUUUUUUGAACCUUUUUGAAUAAAAAGACCCUUUUAAAGUUCUGACGAGGCGUUAGCAUUCUAGGUUUCAUAUUGGACCACUGACUCAUCUUAGUAUUUUUUCCCCAUAAAACAGCAUAAUAGGAAUAAUAAUAAUAUGAUUGAGUGCUUGCUGUGGAAGAAGAUUCUGGAAGUGUUAAUGUUUUUGUGUGUUCUUGUCUAUAAAUAAAUAGCUGUUACAUAUAAGCUAUGUGCCAGUUCAGCCUUUGGUAGAAGAUGGUUUUCUGAGUAAAGAAAUCAUUUAUGUUGAAACUAAGCUAGAAUUCUACUUAAAGCUAUUAGUCUACCAGCAAGAGAUCAGGCUUGGACGGGCAUUCCAGAAGAUGUGUUUCAGACUUAAAAGCAAGAGUUGUACUCCCCCAAAUAUUGCAUCUAUAUUCAGUGAAUAUAAGGCUGCUGCUAUUCCUGAACUCGAAAGAUAAAAAUGAGGAAAAGGAAGGAAGGGAUAGCCAACUUACAUAGGAUUCUGCAGGUGGCUGUUGACUGGAAUCACUUUUUUCUGUUUUCCUCCCAUGAUUAGGACACUUUCCUUCCUCACGUGGAAUGUGGGACGAUCACUCUGAUUGGGGCAACCACUGAAAACCCUUCCUUCCAGGUCAACGCUGCUCUUCUGAGCCGCUGUCGAGUGAUUGUUCUUGAGAAGCUUCCAGUAGAGGCAAUGGUGACUAUUUUAAUGCGAGCGAUCAACUCCCUGGGAAUCCACGUCCUAGACUCUAGCCGUCCCACUGACCCUCUGAGCCACAGCAGCAACAGCAGCUCAGAGUAAGUUGACAGUGUGCAGCGUCCUGGGGGCACACACCUCCCAGAGAGUCUCCUGGCAGGGGGCCAGAAAGGGCCGGGCGUCAGUGAGGAGAGGGUGGGGACAGAGAAGAAAUGUUGAUCCGCCCGUAAUGAAAAUAAAAGAGGAGGGAAAUGUUCGAUUAUACCUAACAAAGUUAUCCCUGCACACUUGAAGAUGCAUUUUCCAGCCUCUAAUAUGUGUUUCUAUAAUUCUUCAAGCUUUAACUUUGCUUUGUUGUUUUGGUUCUUGGGUGUUUGCUUUUGUGCUUAGGCUUCUAUGGGAAGCCUUAUUGAUGAUUUGAAAGGCUUUAUGUCCCUCAUUGAAUAGAACAAAUAG